UUAAGCAUAUUAAUAAGCGGAGGAAAAGAAACCAACAGGGAUAUUCUCAGUAACGGCGAGUGAAGAGAAUACAGCCCAGCGCUGAAUCGUAUUGCUUGCAAGGGUAGUACGAAAUGUAGCGUGAAACUGGCGGCUGUUGAUGUUGUCGAUGCGUGUAAGUCUUCUUGAGCGGGGCUCAGUCCCAGAGAUGGUGCUAGGCCCGUAUCGCGCGUGACAAGUACAACAACGCCCGCUUGUGGAGAGUCAGGUUGUUUGGGAACACAAUCUAAAGCCGGUGGUACACUCCAUCGAAGGCUAAAUAUGGCCACGAGUCCGAUAGCGAACAAGUACCGUGAGGGAAAAUUGAAAAGCACUUUGAAGAGAGAGCGAAAUAGUGCGUGAAACCGCUUAGAGGCAAGCAGAUGGAUUCUCGAAGGUGUGCAUAGGAUUAAUUUCCUAGUUCUCACGCCACCGCUGUUGUUGACGUGCACCAUACGCUGACAUUUGGACGCUUGAGAUUGGGACUUGUGCCUGCUUGAGACGCUCGGUGUUGGACGUAUUGAGUUGAUUCGUGGCAUGCGAUAACAGAGCAGAGCAUUUGUCGUCGCUGUAAAGCGCCGACUGUGGCCGCUUGCUGAUGCAUUGUUGUUGUGCCGAGGCGCAAGCUUCGACAUGCGAUAUGUAUUGCAACUCGGCUAUUAGUACCGGCAAGACGACUUUAAGACUCGGUGGCGAGUAGA
This 719-nucleotide ribosomal RNA is filed under the name Echiniscus attenboroughi. RNAcentral describes it as "Echiniscus sp. 1 PG-2022a partial large subunit ribosomal RNA". It matches the Rfam family "Eukaryotic large subunit ribosomal RNA", at positions 34 to 637 of the family's 3401-position model. Lineage: Eukaryota; Metazoa; Tardigrada; Heterotardigrada; Echiniscoidea; Echiniscidae. The record is from RNAcentral.